This 90-nucleotide unclassified non-coding RNA is filed under the name Pseudomonas moraviensis. The record is from RNAcentral. Lineage: Bacteria; Pseudomonadati; Pseudomonadota; Gammaproteobacteria; Pseudomonadales; Pseudomonadaceae.
UGUAGGAGUGAGCCUGCUCGCGAUAGCGGUGUGUCAGACAGCAAAUUUGUUGAAUGUUGAUUCGCUAUCGCGAGCAGGCUCACUCCUACA